GUGUCAGCAGCCGCGGUAAUACGUAGGCAGCGAGCGUUGUUCGGAAUUACUGGGCGUAAAGAGUGUGUAGGCGGUGCUCUAAGUCUGUCGUGAAAUCUCCCGGCUUAACUGGGAGGGUGCGGCGGAAACUGGAGUGCUAGAGGGUGGGAGAGGAAAGCGGAAUUCCUGGUGUAGCGGUGAAAUGCGUAGAUAUCAGGAGGAACACCUGCGGUGUAGACAGCUUUCUGGACCACUUCUGACGCUGAGACACGAAAGCGUGGGUAGCAAACAGGAUUAGAUACCCCGGUAGUCC
RNAcentral lists this ribosomal RNA (292 nucleotides) under uncultured bacterium. RNAcentral describes it as "partial 16S ribosomal RNA". It matches the Rfam family "Bacterial small subunit ribosomal RNA", at positions 505 to 796 of the family's 1533-position model. The record is from RNAcentral.